UCUGGUGAUGAUGGCGAAGAGGUCACACCCGUUCCCAUACCGAACACGGAAGUUAAGCUCUUCAGCGCCGAUGGUAGUUGGGGGUUUCCCCCUGCAAGAGUAGGACGUUGCCAGGC
Molecule: ribosomal RNA, 116 nt
Filed under: Ureibacillus thermophilus
Lineage: Bacteria; Bacillati; Bacillota; Bacilli; Caryophanales; Caryophanaceae
Also listed under: 1 other name
Source: RNAcentral